Molecule: ribosomal RNA, 435 nt
Filed under: uncultured bacterium
Lineage: Bacteria
Description: partial 16S ribosomal RNA
Rfam family: Bacterial small subunit ribosomal RNA
Source: RNAcentral
AACGAACGCUGGCGGCAUGCCUAACACAUGCAAGUCGAACGAUUGCCUUCGGGUGAUAGUGGCGCACGGGUGCGUAACGCGUGGGAAUCUGCCCUUAGGUUCGGAAUAACAGCUGGAAACGGCUGCUAAUACCGGAUGAUAUCGCGAGAUCAAAGAUUUAUCGCCUGAGGAUGAGCCCGCGUUGGAUUAGGUAGUUGGUGGGGUAAAGGCCUACCAAGCCGACGAUCCAUAGCUGGUCUGAGAGGAUGAUCAGCCACACUGGGACUGAGACACGGCCCAGACUCCUGCGGGAGGCAGCAGUGGGGAAUAUUGGACAGUGGGCGCAAGGCUGAUCCAGCAAUGCCGGGUGAGUGAUGAAGGCCCUAGGGUUGUAAAGCUCUUUUACCCGGGAAGAUAAUGACUGUACCGGGAGAAUAAGCCCCGGCUAACUCCGUG